This 77-nucleotide transfer RNA is filed under the name Candidatus Nomurabacteria bacterium. RNAcentral's name for it is "tRNA-Val". It matches the Rfam family "tRNA". Rfam says of the family: Transfer RNA (tRNA) molecules are approximately 80 nucleotides in length. Their secondary structure includes four short double-helical elements and three loops (D, anti-codon, and T loops). Further hydrogen bonds mediate the characteristic L-shaped molecular structure. tRNAs have two regions of fundamental functional importance: the anti-codon, which is responsible for specific mRNA codon recognition, and the 3' end, to which the tRNAs corresponding amino acid is attached (by aminoacyl-tRNA synthetases). tRNAs cope with the degeneracy of the genetic code in two manners: having more than one tRNA (with a specific anti-codon) for a particular amino acid; and 'wobble' base-pairing, i.e. permitting non-standard base-pairing at the 3rd anti-codon position. Lineage: Bacteria; Candidatus Nomuraibacteriota. The record is from RNAcentral.
GGGGCUAUAGCUCAGCUGGCUAGAGCGCACGAUUCACAUUCGUGAGGCCGUAGGUUCAAGUCCUACUAGCCCCACCA